AGGAAGAAGGAGGUGAGAUGCAGGGAGAACUGCUCUAACAAAGGUUGUUGCAACCAUAGGGAUAGAGUCAUCGAAGAUUCCUUGGUAUGCUACUUUGUUUUAGAGAGAUAACAAGCUUCCAUUAUACAUGUAUAAAUAUGAUUUAAUUGAAAUCUUAGUAGAUUUAAUUGAAAUCUUAGUAGGCAAUGAAGCGUUAAAUAU
Molecule: long non-coding RNA, 201 nt
Filed under: Vigna radiata
Lineage: Eukaryota; Viridiplantae; Streptophyta; Magnoliopsida; Fabales; Fabaceae
Description: long non-coding RNA (VRAD_LNC011031)
Source: RNAcentral